Molecule: ribosomal RNA, 427 nt
Filed under: uncultured bacterium
Lineage: Bacteria
Description: partial 16S ribosomal RNA
Rfam family: Bacterial small subunit ribosomal RNA
Source: RNAcentral
GUGAGGAAUUUUCCGCAAUGGGCGAAAGCCUGACGGAGCAAUGCCGCGUGAAGGAUGAAGGCCUAUGGGUUGUAAACUUCUUUUCUCAGAAAAGAAUUAUGACGGUAUCUGAGGAAUAAGCAUCGGCUAACUCUGUGCCAGCAGCCGCGGUAAUACGGAGGAUCCAAGCGUUAUCCGGAUUUAUUGGGUUUAAAGGGUGCGUAGGCGGUAGCUUAAGUCAGUGGUGAAAGUUUGCAGCUCAACUGUAAAAUUGCCAUUGAAACUGGGUUACUUGAGUACGGUAGAGGUAAGCGGAAUGCGUAGUGUAGCGGUGAAAUGCUUAGAUAUUACGCAGAACCCCAAUUGCGAAGGCAGCUUACUGGACCGGUUACUGACGCUGAGGCACGAAAGCGUGGGUAUCAAACAGGAUUAGAAACCCGUGUAGUCC